Molecule: long non-coding RNA, 2401 nt
Organism: Passer domesticus (house sparrow)
Lineage: Eukaryota; Metazoa; Chordata; Aves; Passeriformes; Passeridae
Exons: 3
Source: RefSeq, a predicted model, not a curated record
CACUCAGAGGCAUGACUGGGAUGUGCACCUGGGGUGGCAGAUACUAGGGGGAACACGGAUGAGGGGAUCCCUAACUUCUAGUGGCAUAGCAGGAUUACAGGCCUUGGAGACUCCUUUUCAACCUUGUUGGAUUUGAUAGAAGUGUCAUUUUAAGAUGAUGUUUGGAAAGGCCCAUGAAAAGAGCUUAAAACUGUAAGAUACGGGGGGAACAGGAAGUAUAGCCACUCGCAACUCAAAGUGGCAAAGAUUUAUCUGUGUGUUUGGUUUUACACAUGUGAUCAAGAGGCUGGGGAGAGACUGGUGGACUUUGAAGGAUUUUGAAUCAGAUGCAUGAAUGUUUCAAGCAUCCAAAUGUGACAGGAGGCUAAAACAACAGCUGCAUGAGAGCAGAAAAGCACCAAAAGAAGAGGAAAUUUUUUUGUAGUCACUGUUUCAGCCUUCAGAAACCAACUGUGAAAGCUCUUUGUGAGCACCAAAUAGCACAGUCAGAAAGGGAGAAAGAGGGACUGCCUGUCCCCAACAAGGACUCUUGUCCCACUGCGGUUUCCUUCGGUGACCUGUGGUAUGCCCAGGUCACAGAAAGAGCAUGGAUGAGAGACAGCCUGUGGUGUCAGCAGGGACUCCAGAGGCACAAGGGACAGAGACUGUAAAUUCUGGGGAAUGUACCUGAGAACACAGGAAUGCUCAGUUUUUAUUUUAUGAAAGACAAGUAUAGAUAUUUAGCUCAAAAAGGCUUUGAAAAUCAAUGUAGAUAGUAAGAAAAAGCAGUGAGAUUUUUCAAGUUGCUAAAGGAAAGAGCUCUGUACAGCAUAUCUUCUCUCCAUAUCAUGGUCUGGUCUGUGCUGUUCCCAUGGACUGCUGCUCUCCUCCUCGCUGGGGUCUGCACCAUCUGGAGCCAUGCCAGACAAACCUGAAGAUAUUCUGAAGCUCAGUGAAAAGCAUGGUGGCUACCUGCACUCCUAAUAUAUGUUAAGCAGACUGGAAAGCAUUUUGAAUUUUCCAGAACUUUCUGCCUCUGGCAAGGCCAGGAACUGUCAUGACUAAUAUUAUUUGGAAAUCUCUGAUCUGCAAAAGCAGGGCUCACCACAACCAGAAAGCAGAGCAGUGUUAAGAGUUGUAGGAGCAGAAAACACUUUUACAACCUUCCAUGACACAUCUAUGGGUUUGCACAUAGCCAAGGUUGUAGCUAAGUCAGAAUUAUUGAUGUGCCUACACAUGUGAACAAAUGGAAAAGUUUUGAGGGUUGAAAUGUUCUGAAGUAAAAACAUUUGGCACAUUGACCCAAGGGUCCAUUUAUUAUUCAGCUUCUUCUGUACUACCAAGUGUGACAUUGAGUUGAAAAUAAAAUUCUGAAUAAUUUGUUCACCCUGGACUUUAUUUUAUCUUUUGCUGCACUGUAGUAACUUUUGAGCAAUCCUGUUGAUGAGUCUUUUUAAUGCUCAGAACACUGCAGAAGUGACCUAGCUGUUUUCAACAAGACCAAAUUGUUCUCAAGAAGAUCUCAUGGUAAUUAGCAUAUUUUUGUGAAAGAUUUCAUUGUUAAUUCAUUUUGAGAUUGAAAAUUUUCAAGUAAUAAAUUAAAAGAACUGGACAUAGAAAUGUUGUUCUUAUUUUAAUGAUCUUACCCUAAUUUAGAAUAUCCCACCCAUGUUUUUACAUGUAGUCACAUUGUUUAUUUUGCUUUCCAUGAUUCCCAUUCAUUUUAAAAAAAGAAACAAAAAACCAAAACCCGAAGACAUCAUCAGCAUAUGCAUCUUGACUGCAAAACCACAGCAUUCCAGGCAAAUCCAGUGGUGUAGUCCUGCCAGAGGGCCUCAGGAGUGCACGUGUAUGCCAUGUAGUCAACAAAAAAUCACUGCAGAUUUCAUACAAAUGAAAUUUGCAUGGUUGUUGAUGAUCAGCUCUAUCUAACACAUGGUAUAUUUAGUAGUUUUGGUCACUAAUCUAUGAAAAAGAUUGUUGGAAGGGUUUGUUGGUUGUUUUGAUUCAAUUCCAAUACAUAAGAACAUCUUUGUUUUGCUGCUGCUGUGGUUAAUCAUUGCCAUAUUGUAGGAUUUCCUUGAUUGGUUUAUAUGUAUUACAUUUCAGUUUUCUAAUUCUAAGGGGGUGUUUUAUUUAUUUUCUUGCCACAAACAAUAAACACCCAUUAUAUGUGUAGAUAAGGAGAACUGUACAGGACAAAACCCUGCUGUAAACCAACAGUGAAAUAAAAGAGCAUAGAGAUGCUGUGCCAAAUAAACUAAGGUGAUGCCUUAAGACUUAAUGCACAGGAGCUGGGGCAGUUAGGCACAUUAAUGUUUUAAUCUGAUCAAGCUCCCAUCCAAAAGCUGUGUUUUAAAACCCUGGCAAAAUGAUUCAGGGUAUUUUUGCCAGACAAAGUAUCAGGCCUUCAGCAUUAAAA